This 253-nucleotide ribosomal RNA is filed under the name uncultured bacterium. RNAcentral's name for it is "partial 16S ribosomal RNA". It matches the Rfam family "Bacterial small subunit ribosomal RNA", at positions 524 to 776 of the family's 1533-position model. The record is from RNAcentral.
UACGUAGGGGGCAAGCGUUGUCCGGAAUUAUUGGGCGUAAAGAGCUCGUAGGCGGCUAGUCGCGUCGGCUGUGAAAACCUGGGGCUCAACCCCGGGCCUGCAGACGAUACGGGCUAGCUAGAAUUCGGUAGGGGAGACUGGAAUUCCUGGUGUAGCGGUGAAAUGCGCAGAUAUCAGGAGGAACACCGGUGGCGAAGGCGGGUCUCUGGGCCGAUAUUGACGCUGAGGAGCGAAAGCGUGGGGAGCGAACAGG